CAGUAGCGUAUAUUAAAGUUGUUGCAGUUAAAAAGCUCGUAGUUGAAGUUUGGGCCUGGGCGGGCGGUCUACCUAUGGUGAGUACUGCUGCGGCCGGGUCUUUCCUUCUGGCUAGCCCUCGGGCGAACCAGGACGAUUACUUUGAGGAAAUUAGAGUGUUCAAAGCAGGCCUUUGCUCGGAUAUAUUAGCAUGGAAUAAUAGAAUAGGACGCAUGGUUCUAUUUUGUUGGUUUCUAGGACCAUCGUAAUGAUUAAUAGGGACGGUCGGGGGCAUCAGUAUUCAGUUGUCAGAGGUGAAAUUCUUGGAUUAACUGAAGACUAACUACUGCGAAAGCAUUUGCCAAGGACGUUUUCAUUAA
Molecule: ribosomal RNA, 359 nt
Filed under: uncultured eukaryote
Lineage: Eukaryota
Description: partial 18S ribosomal RNA
Rfam family: Eukaryotic small subunit ribosomal RNA
Source: RNAcentral